UGAGUGAGAGAGUGCGGAUACAGCUGAUAAUAGUGGCAAAUAAUAAUUUGUUGGACUUAUUAACUACCCAUUUCAAAGAACUUUUUAUAAAAUAAUUCUCUGAAAUUUUAUAAUUUAUAAAAUAAUCUUAUCAAAUUCAUAUUUGGCAAACUAAUUUUCGAAACGUAGUGAAUCAUUCAUCGCAUUCUGAAGACUUCAAGGUCUUUUAAAGGUGGUGAAUCAUUCACAGUAUUUAUUAAGACGGUUAACGAUUCAUCGUUUUCUUCAUAAUUUUUUGAAAAGAGAAAAAAAAAAGUGAGACCGUUAAAAUUGUGCGUAAAUUAUACAGGAAAUAAAAAAAAAAAAGUGAGAUUGUUAGAAUUGUAUAUGGAUUAUUAGAAUUUUUGUUUGAUUAAUUAGAAUUGUAUGGAUAGAUUAUUAAGAUUUUUUUUUUAUUGUUAGAAUUGUAUGGAUAGAUUAUUAGGAUUUUUUAAAUUAUUAAGAUAUGUGAUUUUGAUUAUUAUGAUUGUAUGGAUAGAUUAUUAUAAUUUUUUUAAUUAUUAGGAUUAUAUAGAUAGAUUAUUAAAAUUUUUAUAUUGUUAAAAUUAUAUGUGAUUUGUUGGAAUAUUUAUAUAGUUGUUAGUAUUAUGUAUGGGAUAUAGAAAGAAAUAGUAAAUAAGUAAAAGAAGGUGAAUCAUUUACCGCUUUUGUGAGAAAUUAGGAAGGCGGUGAAUCGUUCACCGUCUUUAUGAAGGCGGUGAAUCAAUGAUUCACCGCCUUUAAGAGAAAAUUAUAAUGUAGCGCUCCUACAUAACAAAAAAAGGGUUAGUUUUCUAAAUAUAAAUUUAGUAGGGUAUUUUGCAAAUACCAAAAUUUUAGAGGAUUAUUUUAUAAAAAAGUCCAAUUUAGGUUAAGCUCUACUGUUAUUAUUAUUUAGGAUUAAUUGCAUAUAAGUCCAUACAAAUACAGUGAAUUAUAAAUAUAUAUUUUUAUAAAGUUCAACUUUCAUAUGUUGUCCCUACAAAAGUUUUAAUUAAUAUUUUCAAAUAUAUUCUUGAUGCUAGUUGUUAAAAUAUAAAUAGUUCUCUAACGAUAACAAAUGAAAGUUGAACUUUGUAGAGAUGUAUUUACAAUACACUAUGUUUGUAGGGACUUGUAUGCAUUUAACCUUAUUAUUUAUUAUUAUUAUUAGGGUGUUUAAUCCUUAUAUUUUCAAUCACUAAUAUUUUUUAUCUGAUGUGGAACUAUUAGGGUGUUAUAAACUCUCUGUUUAGACCAUCUAAUGUGAGACUANUAUAGAUGCAGGUAAAUAAAACAGUAGCUACAAUAAACAGAUAAGGAUGUACUGAAAAUAAACACUACAGCUACUGUAUGCAUGCGUCAACUGACGAU
RNAcentral lists this long non-coding RNA (1371 nucleotides) under Ananas comosus (pineapple). RNAcentral's name for it is "long non-coding RNA (ACOM_LNC026608)". The record is from RNAcentral. Lineage: Eukaryota; Viridiplantae; Streptophyta; Magnoliopsida; Poales; Bromeliaceae.